Non-coding RNA from Pelobates cultripes (western spadefoot toad), 776 nucleotides. NCBI's taxonomy places the organism in Eukaryota, Metazoa, Chordata, Amphibia, Anura, Pelobatidae. The record is from the annotation of a GenBank genome assembly.
UAAAAGAAAAAAAAAGCUAUUAAAAAGGCAAUUGCCUUCUAAUAAGUAUUCCGAAAACCUAAAACCAGGAUAUAAUCAUCUAACAUGCGAUGAUUACACUUUACAUAUUUGUUGUGGAGUUUCAUGCACCAAUGAAAUGUUUGGUUGUGUUAUAGUUAUGUUAUGUAUGUUUAUGUGUUAUAUUUUGAUUUAUAAAGCAAGACUAAUUAGCUUAUGUUUUAUGCGUUCUAUAUUAUUCGUUCUAAACUUUGGCCUUCUUAAAGAGGAUGCAGCUUGCAUAAAGAACUAAAUAUAGGUAUGUUUUGAAAAGUUCACCAUAAAAUGUUGUACUAGUGACAGACAUGAAAAAUGUCCCUAAAAUUGUGCUGUACUCACAAGCCUUGACAUGACAUUAAAACCCCUUAAGGACACAUGACGGAAAUAUACUGUCAUGAUCACCUUUUAUUUCUGAAGCUGUGUCCUUAAGGGGUUGAUCCACAUUGUAAUAACAACUUCAUAACUCUCUGAAAAGCUGUGUGAGAGUUUACGUUUUCAUAUUAAACUGUUUAAGCAAAAAAUGGACAGCCAAAAAAUGAAUAUGGGGCACGAAGGGUUCAGAAAAGUGCACUUCAGCACAGACCAGGCAAGUGGGAACAAAUCUUUGGUAUCAUAUGUGAUUAUUUUUUUUCAAUCACAAAUUGAAAACUGAAGUGAGGUAGCCUUUUCCAUGAGGUUCUCACUAUAAAUGUCUUGUAAGUCUGUUCGUUUUGGUUUCACACCUGGAGCAUCACAGAAGC